GCUGAAAAAAACCUAACAGGGAGAGGCAGGAGCUGCAGGAAAGGCAAAAGAGGGCAUCCUGUGUGUAAGAAGAAUCUACAAUACAUCUCUGUGGAAAUCCAAGGGACAAGAAGGGCAGUGACCAGAUAAAGAGAUUGUGUGACAAAGAAGGAGGAUCUUCCUGAGUAGGAUUGGAUGAAGCCAGUUCCUUCUCUGGAUGUGGACAGCACUCUUUCUCAUAAGUCCUCAGAAUUGUCCUGGAUCAUUGCAUUGCUGCUAGUAGAGAAGUCCAUUACA
Molecule: long non-coding RNA, 276 nt
Filed under: Monodelphis domestica (gray short-tailed opossum)
Lineage: Eukaryota; Metazoa; Chordata; Mammalia; Didelphimorphia; Didelphidae
Description: lncRNA (ENSMODG00000047336.1)
Source: RNAcentral